This 253-nucleotide ribosomal RNA is filed under the name uncultured bacterium. RNAcentral's name for it is "partial 16S ribosomal RNA". It matches the Rfam family "Bacterial small subunit ribosomal RNA", at positions 524 to 776 of the family's 1533-position model. The record is from RNAcentral.
UACGGAGGGGGCUAGCGUUGUUCGGAAUUACUGGGCGUAAAGCGCGUGUAGGCGGCUAUGCAAGUCGGGCGUGAAAUCCCACGGCUCAACCGUGGAAGUGCACUCGAAACUGCGUAGCUAGAGUCCUGGAGAGGAAGGUGGAAUACUUGGUGUAGAGGUGAAAUGCGUAGAUAUCUGGAGGAACACCGGUGGCGAAGGCGGCGUUCUGGACUGUUUCUGACACUGAAAAACGAAAGCCAGGGGAGCAAACGGG